Long non-coding RNA from Coccinella septempunctata (seven-spotted ladybird), 171 nucleotides. RefSeq lists it as uncharacterized. NCBI's taxonomy places the organism in Eukaryota, Metazoa, Arthropoda, Insecta, Coleoptera, Coccinellidae. The transcript is spliced from 2 exons. The record is from RefSeq and is a predicted model, not a curated record.
UCCAGUACAUGUGAUUGAUUUAUUAAGAAAUUGUAGAAGCUCAAAUUAUUUUUAAGUUUUGAUUUCAUGACUAUAUUGCCGUAUAACACUGGAGCUCGUAUUCGCUGCCCUGAGGAAGGAAACAACCGUUUCCGAAAGCUAGGCUAUUAUGAAUAAAGAGUAAAUACCUCA